Pezoporus flaviventris is the source of this 614-nucleotide long non-coding RNA. RefSeq lists it as uncharacterized. The transcript has 4 exons. Lineage: Eukaryota; Metazoa; Chordata; Aves; Psittaciformes; Psittacidae. The record is from RefSeq and is a predicted model, not a curated record.
UUUUGGUAGGCUAUAAGGUUAGGAAUCCAGAUCUUAUCAGAAAGAAGGAAUAAGGUAAUAAUGAAGAUGUCUGAAAAAUCAUUUAUCAGACUACAAGUCUCCUGGUGUGUUGAACAAGGAAGAAAUCAUGGAGACUUUCAAGCUUUCCUCGUGAACCUAAGAAUAAGUGGUGAUUCAUUGCUUUAGAUACGGCUGUAGGCACUUUUGUUGCCUUGAUACUGAAUUCCUUCCUCCUAAAGAAUCAGAAUAAAAGUUUUAGAAGGAAAAGAAAAAUAUUAUAAAGGGAAAACUGCAAAUGACUGAAAACCAGCCAGAUGGAGUGGGAAGAAAAGAGUUGAAGGCCAUAGGACACAGACUGUGUUCUGAGCCAAAAGCAUUAUAGAAGAUAAAACAAAAGGUAGGCAAAAAUCAGGCCCUGGCCAUCAAAGGAAAAAUAUCGGAGACAAGAUGGCACGAGGAUACAGCUACUGAGGUAAGAUUUUGGUGCAGUUCCAGAGGGGACAUUUUCCAGAUCUUGUGUCUUUAGUCUGUGGAAAGACUUGGAACAGAAGGAAGGAUCACAUAAAAAAAUGCAACUGCACAAUUGCACUAGACUGUCACCAAAUAAACUAUUU